UAUGGGUUAGUGGCGACGGGUGAGUAACGCGUGGGUAACCUGCCUUACACAGGGGGAUAACACUUAGAAAUAGGUGCUAAAACCGCAUAAGCGCACAGCUUCGCAUGAAGCGGUGUGAAAAACUCCGGUGGUGUAAGAUGGACCCGCGUCUGAUUAGCUUGUUGGCGGGGUAACGGCCCACCAAGGCGACGAUCAGUAGCCGGCCUGAGAGGGCGGACGGCCACAUUGGGACUGAGACACGGCCCAAACUCCUACGGAAGGCAGCAG
This 267-nucleotide ribosomal RNA is filed under the name uncultured bacterium. RNAcentral's name for it is "partial 16S ribosomal RNA". It matches the Rfam family "Bacterial small subunit ribosomal RNA", at positions 86 to 354 of the family's 1533-position model. The record is from RNAcentral.